GUGAACGGAAUUGCGAAGAGCAGCAUAAGCAGAGCAAUGGUCUACACCAACCUGUUAUCGGCCUUGCCGUCGACGCUCUGCAUCUAGACUUAGUUAAACUCUGAUAGUUCCGACUGGAGCUUCAGGGUGAUUCCGGAGUUCGACGCGGCACCGGAGGUGAAAAGAGAGCUUCAGGCAAGAUCUGGAGUUCGAGGCCGCCCCGCCGGUGGAGAGAGAGAGCUUCAGGCGUGAUCCGGAGUUCGACGCCGCACCGCCGCACCGGAGAGAGAGAGCUUCAGGCAUGAUCUGGAGUUCGACGCCGCACCGGAGAGAGAAAGCGCUAAUCCUAAUUUCGACGCCGCACAGGAGGUGCGG
Molecule: long non-coding RNA, 354 nt
Filed under: Rosa chinensis
Lineage: Eukaryota; Viridiplantae; Streptophyta; Magnoliopsida; Rosales; Rosaceae
Description: sRNA RchiOBHm_Chr7g0243201
Source: RNAcentral